Molecule: long non-coding RNA, 2798 nt
Filed under: Cinara cedri
Lineage: Eukaryota; Metazoa; Arthropoda; Insecta; Hemiptera; Aphididae
Source: RNAcentral
GUAACAAUCAUAUUAUAUUUAGAUAUAACUGUUCAAAUGGUCCUGUUACAAUAAGUACAUAGUAUUCUGAUUGUACUGGAUGGGGAGAUUAAAAAAACUACAAUAGUUACAAUUUUAAUUGUCUAGGAUUGAUCACGCAAUUAGUUGAAUGUAAUCAGGUAUAAACUGGCUCUAUUUUUUUAUAUAUGGGAAAAUAUUUUGUAAGUAUAGAGUAGGUACAAGAAAUCAUCUCCUUAAGUUGAUGAUUGGAGUAAGAUUCCUGGUUGAAAAGUUAUUUACAGACAAAACAAAUAAAAUGAAUAACUGACCAGACAUAAAUUGCUAUUGCUAAUAGAAUUUAUUUCACAGGAUUGUAAAUCAUUAUGGUGCAACAGAAUUUGUUCUGAUAUGGAAACAUUAUUGAUAUUGGCCAGAGCUAUGUAAUGUAUCAAUCCUAACACCAUGCAAAUUGGGCAUUGUGACAAAGAAGCCUACAAUUAUCAACAUUUAUAAUAACACAACAUUGAAGUUAUUAUUUAAAGGUAAAUAUAUUCUCUUUACAAAAUCUUCACUGAAUUGGAAAUAAAAAUACAUUUAACAUAGACAAUUUGACUAGGAACAAUUAUAGAAUAUUAUAUUAAUUUGUAUGUUGAUUGAAUGUCACUGUUUUUUAUGAAACAGUGAACAUUUCUAAUUAUUCAAUUUUCAAUAGUAUUCAAUGCAUUUUGUGAAUUUUUUUUAAAAAUUUCCUAAUAAUGUGUUAAAAAUUAAUAAACCAAAAAUUACUAUUAAAAUUAUUUAUACAUAUUAUUUAACUAAUCAAUUUAACACAAACUGUUUUUGUAUAUUAAUGAUUUGUAGUAAAAAAUUAAUUAGUUUAAUGAAUAAUAGCUUAGUAAAUAUAUCAUAAAAAUUUUUGAAUUUAUUAAAUAACUUUUACUGAUAAUAAUAAUUUGUAUACAGAUAUAGAGCAAAAUAACACCACACAUUUUAAACAAAUGUUUUAUUGGUAAAUAGUCUUCCAAUUUUAGAUAAAUACAUUAUAUUUUUGUCAGUUUUAGUCUUAUCGGAUAUUUUCAUAGAAGAUUGAAUUCAGUUUAAAUUUGAUGUAGCUAUUAGCCAUAUUUUUAUUGUCAUCUUUUGAAAUUGAAUAUAUUUCUUUUAUUUAUAGUACUUAGAUUUUCUUUAAUGCUUUGCAUCGCAUGUGGGAGUUCAAAACCUGGAACUCUCUGGGUUGCAUCAUUGAUGAGAAGGCCAUUCAUUUUCAUCUCUCCAAAUUUUCUUUCACAAAUCCUCCGGAACCUCUGUUGUACUCUCGAUAGACCAAAUAGGGUGUCUAGACUUCAAUUGUUUAAAUGGCGCAUCAUAUAUGUCGUUAUGAACUGGGAGGUGUGUCGAGUUUUUAAUUUUUUCUAAUAUUUUUUUCUUGCUGCAUAUCUGCGUAUUUCUGGUGGGGCUAUAUUUGAAAGUACCGGGAGCCACUGCACCUUCGUUGACCGAACACAACCUAAUAUUAUUCUCAUUGUAUUGUUUAAUUCCACAUCUACUUUUUUCGUGUGCAUACUCCUCCCCCAUACUGGUGCACAGUAUUCCGCAGCAUUAUACACUAAAGCCAAAGCAGAAGUGCGAAGGAUAUUUGCCCUGCAUCCCCAGUUUGUUCCGGCCAACUUACUGAUAAUGUUGUUCCUAGUUUUUAGUUUGUUUUUUACUCCUUCUAAGUGCUGUUUGAAGGUUAAAGUCCUGUCUAACUUUAUUCCCAAGUAUUUCGGGGCGUCUUCUUCUUGUAUGUUAACUCCCUGAGCCAUUAAGUUUAGUUUUCUAUCUGAUUCUAUGUUAUUUAGGUGGAACGCAAUGGAAGUAGUUUUGUUUGGGUUGAGUGUUAGGUGUCUUUUCCAGUUUUUCAAACGACUUGGCUUGAGCUACUAAUUCCACGUCAUCUGCAUACAUAAAUUUCCGCGAUGUUGUGUUCACAAUAUCAGAUGUGUAAACAUUAAACAAUUCCAAUGUCAUAAAUAUUAAAUUAAAUUAAUAAUAUGAUUGAACAGAUUAGCAAACAAGACUUAUUGCUAUUUAGCAGCCUAUCCAUUAUGCAAUCUUAUUUACAAAAAGUGACAAACUGAAGAAAUCAGGUUUAUAAAAUAAAUAUGUUUAAAUGCCUCAUUUCAUUCCUAAACAUGUAUAAAUAAGAUUUUUAAGUGAUAUAAAUAGUUUAUGAACCACAUAGUAUAUAAUUUUUGGCAAAAUUUAAUAAAAUGUAAUCAUAAUUUGAAAGUUAAAAUAAAUUAAUUUUUAAAUUAUUAAGCCAAUUUUUACUUAUGAUGUUAUUAUGUUAUCUACCUGUGUAAUAUUGCAUUUGACUUGAGCUUAUUAAAUUAUUUCAGAAUAUGGCAGUCACAUUUUAAGUCCAAGUAUAUAAUUUAGCAGGAAAUGGGAAUUGAGCUGCCAUAUUUAUGGAUUAGUUUGCCAGCAGUUCUAUCAAUAUAAAGCCAGUUAACAUUAAAAGUAAAUAUUUUAUUACAUAGGUAUAUGUUAGCAUGACUAUUAAAAUAUCAUAUAUAAAAAAACAAAUUGUUUUAGAUUAAUGCUCAAUAAAAUAUAACAGUUAAAGUAGAUAAUUAAAAAUAACCAGGUAUGGGUUGUAACAUAAAUUAUCCUAAAUACACUUAAAUUAACUUUGGAAAAUUUACAAUUACUUAUUAUUAUACUUAUACUUAUUAAUUAUAAAUAUAUUUUGAAACAAUGUUUUGGUGUAGAUAUAUUGACUAAUUAUGAAUGUUAAUUUUCUACAAUAUUUUUAACAAUAUAAUACUUUAAAUUGA